GUGUCAGCAGCCGCGGUAAGACGAACCGAGCGAACGUUAUUCGGAAUCACUGGGCUUAAAGGGCGCGUAGGCGGACUGCCAAGUCAGGGGUGAAAGCCCGCGGCUCAACCGCGGAAGUGCCUUUGAUACUGGCGGUCUCGAGGGAGGUAGGGGCGUGCGGAACUUCCGGUGGAGCGGUGAAAUGCGUAGAUAUCGGAAGGAACACCGGUGGCGAAAGCGGCGCGCUGGACCUCUUCUGACGCUGAGGCGCGAAAGCCAGGGGAGCGAACGGGAUUAGAUACCCCAGUAGUCC
RNAcentral lists this ribosomal RNA (292 nucleotides) under uncultured bacterium. RNAcentral describes it as "partial 16S ribosomal RNA". It matches the Rfam family "Bacterial small subunit ribosomal RNA", at positions 505 to 796 of the family's 1533-position model. The record is from RNAcentral.